This 443-nucleotide ribosomal RNA is filed under the name uncultured bacterium. Its description in RNAcentral is "partial 16S ribosomal RNA". It matches the Rfam family "Bacterial small subunit ribosomal RNA", at positions 338 to 795 of the family's 1533-position model. The record is from RNAcentral.
CCUACGGGAGGCAGCAGUGGGGAAUAUUGGGCAAUGGAGGAAACUCUGACCCAGCAACGCCGCGUGAAUGAUGAAGGUCUUCGGAUUGUAAAGUUCUUUUCUAAGGGAAGAAGAAAGUGACGGUACCUUAGGAAUAAGCCUCGGCUAACUACGUGCCAGCAGCCGCGGUAAUACGAAGGGGGCAAGCGUUGUUCGGAAUUACUGGGCGUAAAGGGAGUGUAGGCGGUUUAGUAAGAUAGUGGCGAAAUCCCAGAGCUUAACUUUGGAAUUGCCAUUAUAACUAUUAGACUAGAAUUACAGAGAGGAUAGUGGAAUACCCAGUGUAGAGGUGAAAUUCGUAGAUAUUGGGUAGAACACCAGUGGCGAAGGCGACUAUCUGGCUGUACAUUGACGCUGAGGCUCGAAAGCAUGGGGAUCAAACAGGAUUAGAUACCCCAGUAGUC